This 203-nucleotide ribosomal RNA is filed under the name uncultured bacterium. Its description in RNAcentral is "partial 16S ribosomal RNA". It matches the Rfam family "Bacterial small subunit ribosomal RNA", at positions 524 to 724 of the family's 1533-position model. The record is from RNAcentral.
UACGUAGGGUGCAAGCGUUAAUCGGAAUUACUGGGCGUAAAGCGUGCGCAGGCGGUUUUGUAAGUUUGUCGUGAAAUCCCCGGGCUCAACCUGGGAACUUGCGAUGGAGACGUGCAAGGCUAGAAUCUGGCAGAGGGGGGUAGAAUUCCACGUGUAGCAGUGAAAUGCGUAGAGAUGUGGAGGAACACCGAUGGCGAAGGCAG